RNAcentral lists this ribosomal RNA (497 nucleotides) under uncultured bacterium. RNAcentral describes it as "partial 16S ribosomal RNA". The record is from RNAcentral.
GUAGUUAGCCGGGGCUUUCUAAUGGGGUACCGUCAUUUUUUCGUCCCCCACAACAGAGGUUUACAAUCCGAAAACCUUCUUCCCUCACGCGGCGUUGCUGGGUCAGGCUUGCGCCCAUUGCCCAAUAUUCCCCACUGCUGCCUCCCGUAGGAGUCUGGACCGUGUCUCAGUUCCAGUGUGGCCGAUCAGCCUCUCAGCUCGGCUACCCAUCGCAGGCUUGGUGGGCUGUUAUCUCACCAACUACCUAAUGGGACGCGAACCCCUCCUUCAGCGGAUUGCUCCUUUGACCUCAUCCCGAUGCCGGGUCGUGGUCUUAUGCGGUAUUAGCACUUGUUUCCAGGUGUUAUCCCCCUCUGAAGGUCAGGUUGUUCACGCGUUACUCACCCGUUCGCCACUAAAAUUUAUCUUCCAUCCGAAAACUUCUGAUAAAUCUCCGUUCGACUUGCAUGUGUUAGGCACGCCGCCAGCGUUCGUCCUGAGCCAGGAUCAAACUCUGA